This 720-nucleotide ribosomal RNA is filed under the name uncultured bacterium. RNAcentral describes it as "bacterial SSU rRNA". It matches the Rfam family "Bacterial small subunit ribosomal RNA", at positions 591 to 1312 of the family's 1533-position model. The record is from RNAcentral.
GAAGUUAAAGGCUGUGGCUCAACCAUAGUUCGCUUUGGAAACUGUCAAACUUGAGUGCAGAAGGGGAGAGUGGAAUUCCAUGUGUAGCGGUGAAAUGNGUAGAUAUAUGGAGGAACACCGGUGGCGAAAGCGGCUCUCUGGUCUGUAACUGACGCUGAGGCUNGAAAGCGUGGGGAGCGAACAGGAUUAGAUACCCUGGUAGUCCACGCCGUAAACGAUGAGUGCUAGGUGUUGGAUCCUUUCCGGGAUUCAGUGCCGCAGCUAACGCAUUAAGCACUCCGCCUGGGGAGUACGACCGCAAGGUUGAAACUCAAAGGAAUUGACGGGGGCCCGCACAAGCGGUGGAGCAUGUGGUUUAAUUCGAAGCAACGCGAAGAACCUUACCAGGUCUUGACAUCCCGAUGCUAUUUCUAGAGAUAGAAAGUUACUUCGGUACAUCGGUGACAGGUGGUGCAUGGUUGUCGUCAGCUCGUGUCGUGAGAUGUUGGGUUAAGNCCCGCAACGAGCGCAACCCCUAUUGUUAGUUGCCAUCAUUCAGUUGGGCACUCUAGCGAGACUGCCGGUAAUAAACCGGAGGAAGGUGGGGAUGACGUCAAAUCAUCAUGCCCCUUAUGACCUGGGCUACACACGUGCUACAAUGGUUGGUACAACGAGUUGCGAGUCGGUGACGGCAAGCUAAUCUCUUAAAGCCAAUCUCAGUUCGGAUUGUAGGCUGCAACU